CACGCUGUUAUCCCUAAAGUAACUUAUUCUUAUAAUCCAUAGUAAAGGAUCAACUUACCUAAAUAUUUUUAUUUUAACCAACAAACAGUUACAACUUAUAUUUUCAUCGCCCCAAUGUAACAAAGUGAAGAUAAUUUUCAUUUAUACUUAAAUUUAAAAAUUAACUAACUCAUGUAAAGUUUUAUAGGGUCUUAUCGUCCCCCCAGAAAAUUUAAGCCUUUUCACUUAAAAGUUAAAUUCAAUCCUUAUAAAAAAGACAGACUGCUUCUUGUACGACCCUUCAUUCCAGCCUCCAAUUAAGAG
This 303-nucleotide ribosomal RNA is filed under the name Acanthephyra pelagica. RNAcentral's name for it is "partial 16S ribosomal RNA". Lineage: Eukaryota; Metazoa; Arthropoda; Malacostraca; Decapoda; Oplophoridae. The record is from RNAcentral.